UGGCCGCUGGCGCAAUUGGAAGCGCGUCUGACUCUGACUCAGAAGGUUCCAGGUUCGAAGCCUGGGCGGCCAGCCA
This 76-nucleotide transfer RNA is filed under the name Candidatus Sulfopaludibacter sp. SbA4. RNAcentral describes it as "tRNA-Gln". It matches the Rfam family "tRNA". From Rfam's summary of the family: Transfer RNA (tRNA) molecules are approximately 80 nucleotides in length. Their secondary structure includes four short double-helical elements and three loops (D, anti-codon, and T loops). The record is from RNAcentral. Lineage: Bacteria; Pseudomonadati; Acidobacteriota; Terriglobia; Bryobacterales; Solibacteraceae.